CCAGCUGGAGCAGCACUCUUUACCGCGCUGUUGUUGUUACUGUUAUUGUUACUGAUGCGCUGCGCCUGCUCCCCAGAAGCAGCAACAUUGGGGGUAGCAGGUCCUGAUGCGCGACCACUGCUUGCAUUAGGUGCAUCUGGAGGAGGUUGUUGCGCAAUAGAACGGUUGUUAUUCUUCUUAACUUCCUGCAGCAGCUGAUUAAGCACGUGCUGCUGGUAUUGUGGACUAGCACCAAAGCCCUGGAGAUUGUUUUGCUGCAGCAUAGGCUGCUGAAAUGAUGCAGGGUGUUGGAA
This 293-nucleotide long non-coding RNA is filed under the name Setaria viridis. Its description in RNAcentral is "long non-coding RNA (SVIR_LNC003833)". Lineage: Eukaryota; Viridiplantae; Streptophyta; Magnoliopsida; Poales; Poaceae. The record is from RNAcentral.